This 253-nucleotide ribosomal RNA is filed under the name uncultured bacterium. RNAcentral describes it as "partial 16S ribosomal RNA". It matches the Rfam family "Bacterial small subunit ribosomal RNA", at positions 524 to 776 of the family's 1533-position model. The record is from RNAcentral.
UACGUAGGGUGCGAGCGUUAAUCGGAAUUACUGGGCGUAAAGCGUGCGCAGGCGGUUUUGUAAGCCAGGUGUGAAAUCCCCGGGCUCAACCUGGGAAUGGCAUUUGGGACUGCAAGGCUGGAGUGCGGCAGAGGAGACUGGAAUUCCUGGUGUAGCAGUGAAAUGCGUAGAUAUCAGGAGGAACACCGAUGGCGAAGGCGGCCGGCUGGGGGCGCCCUGACGCUGAGGCGCGAGAGCGUGGGGAGCGAACCGG